GAUGAACGCUGGCGGCGUGCUUAACACAUGCAAGUCGAACGAAGCACUUUAUUACAAUUUCUUCGGAAUGACGAUUUAGUGACUGAGUGGCGGACGGGUGAGUAACGCGUGGGUAACCUGCCUUAUACAGGGGGAUAACAGUUAGAAAUGACUGCUAAUACCGCAUAAGCGCACAGGAUUGCAUGAUCUGGUGUGAAAAACUCCGGUGGUAUAAGAUGGACCCGCGUCUGAUUAGCUGGUUGGUGAGGUAACGGCCCACCAAGGCGACGAUCAGUAGCCGACCUGAGAGGGUGACCGGCCACAUUGGGACUGAGACACGGCCCAAACUCCUACGGGAGGCAGCAGUGGGGAAUAUUGCACAAUGGGGGAAACCCUGAUGCAGCGACGCCGCGUGAGCGAAGAAGUAUUUCGGUAUGUAAAGCUCUAUCAGCAGGGAAGAAAAAAUGACGGUAC
This 453-nucleotide ribosomal RNA is filed under the name uncultured bacterium. Its description in RNAcentral is "bacterial SSU rRNA". It matches the Rfam family "Bacterial small subunit ribosomal RNA", at positions 28 to 478 of the family's 1533-position model. The record is from RNAcentral.